UAAAAGUGGUUUGACUUUUGGUACUCUCUCGGCCACACAAAUAUUUAUACCCACACUUUUGGACAGUGACGAUAUGAAUUUUUAAUUUAAAUUCAUUUAGUGUUGUUCUUUACAUAAUCCAUCAAAAGAUGUUGUUUGAGAUGGCGCUGGUGACAGGUGGGGAUUAUGACCAGCAAGAAUAUCACUACAUGAAAAUGAUUACGUUUGUAUAAUUCUGUGUCGUCGUGUGCAUGAUAAUUCAAAUCAACAGCACGGUAAAUGCCUAUGAGGAAGAUUGAAAAAAAGUUCAAUUUGCUAUGAUGUCACUCAAAGUCCAAGGUUCAGGACGAAAAUCGGCCAAAGUCUAAUACAUAAUUGAUUGAAACAAACACGAAUAUUGCAUAAUGUGCGAAGCAGGUGCCCAUCUACAGCACCACCUUAACGAACACAGAUGAUGGGUACAGGUGAGUGUCUUGACUUGGCAGCUUGUGCUGAAUAGUACAUAUGCCUUAUGCGUGUACAUAUAUUUGAUCAAAUGGGCAUGACGGACAAUGGAAAUGAAGCCGAGGCAAGUUGAGAACGUCUUGGAUUUCUCAAUUCCAACCCCACAAGGACCAACCAUCAAAGGACGCUCUUGAAAAAUAAUGUCUCCUUGUGAAAUGUCCUUUGCUGCCUCCAGGUACCUCCCUCGGAUGGAGUCGGC
Molecule: long non-coding RNA, 682 nt
Organism: Folsomia candida
Lineage: Eukaryota; Metazoa; Arthropoda; Collembola; Entomobryomorpha; Isotomidae
Exons: 3
Source: RefSeq, a predicted model, not a curated record